This 1473-nucleotide unclassified non-coding RNA is filed under the name Leishmania donovani. RNAcentral's name for it is "gene:unknown". Lineage: Eukaryota; Euglenozoa; Kinetoplastea; Trypanosomatida; Trypanosomatidae. The record is from RNAcentral.
CCGACAGUUGCCAAGAUGGUGUGUCUAUUCAACUGCAUGGCGCAUACGGUGCCAAGAGAGGACGAGGAGCUUCUGCUAGUGGAGUCGACGUCGCGCAAGUUAGACAAUGCCCUGUCGAACGAGAUACACGCUGCCUCUUACGGAAAAGCUGCAGCUCGCGAAGCCAGCGUUUCGCUGGUCGAUGAAACGCCUCGACACGUCUACGAGCACAAUUAUCGCCUGCACCGUCACGGCUUCACAUCGCGAUACGACGUCUCUUGCGCUAGCGAUGACUCAUCGGAGUUGACAGCUCCUUCGAAAAGGCAGCAGGAAGAUGCCCACUGGAUGAGCCAUGGUUAAGUGCCAACGCUACACUACUUCUCUCAUGUGAGCGUGCGCGUGGCAAACAAGCGCAGCCUGUCGGCGUACCUGAGCACCUCGUGCAGGCUCGGCACUCGCACGUUGCGACUCUUCAAUCCAUGGGCCGGCAAACUGCUCUUUCCCUCAUCGCGCUGUUCGAGCGGCAGGUAGACGUCAAGUGUCUGGCCAAAUGGAUUUCAGGCGACAUCGUGGAGUUGUUUUACAAAAGCGACAACAACGCCGAGGAAGAAAUCCGCAGUGGAGUACGGCAGGCGCCUCGCUUGGUGAGAGCGACGAUCGUCAACGGCAGGUGCGUGACGCGGCGAGCACACAUAACGGCCUAGGAGGACGGUUUCGGCGAGAGAGAGAUACGGUGACCGCAGCGGAUGCGGAGUUGAAGCGAGCCGGCAUUUCUCGGAUGCCUCGCCUUUCGGCUUCUUGUCUCUCUUCUUGCCUUCUCCUUGAUCUAUAGCUCCACCGGAAAGAGGCAUGAUAGAUUUGGAAGAUGAGAACGUUAGGAGCUCUGAUGACAGGAGGCCACCUCGGCGUGUGGUAUCUCAGGAUCCAGUGCCCUCACUCUAUGUGUGCGGAGGCCAAGCAGCACCCCCCUAUCCCUGGCAAAAUGCCGAACCACCUCCGGUGGUGACAAGGUCAUGCACCUACGACGUAGGGGUGUGUGAGAGCGAUGCAUCGCUGCUGCUGCCGGCGGUGAUGCCCUUUAUAGCGUUGUUUCAGGGCGACCUGCGUCCUUGAAGACGCUUGUGCCAUCCACAUGAUGUGCAGGGUGUUGGCGUGAUCCGAACGUAUCCCAACCCGGCGACGGCGAGGGGUGCACCAGGUGACGGAAGGCGCAAUGGGAUGAACUGUGAGGCGGCCUGCGAGGCGGGGUGUGGGCAGAGUUCGAGCCGCAGGCCACAAAACACCAGACACGAACACUUCAUUCUAAGACAUAUGUAUAGUUGCUAAGCCGCUGCGGGCGGAUGCUCGGUGACGAUAUGGUGCAACAGGUAGACGACGUUAUCUUCUCUCAUGAUAUUCUGCCUCCCUCUUUCCCAUUUUCACAAUACCACAUCCCUACACGAGUUCACAUACUGUUUCGGUUGCUCUGACACGGCUGCAAAACUGCUGCGCCAG